Vidua macroura (Pin-tailed whydah) is the source of this 686-nucleotide long non-coding RNA. RefSeq lists it as uncharacterized. The transcript has 3 exons. Lineage: Eukaryota; Metazoa; Chordata; Aves; Passeriformes; Viduidae. The record is from RefSeq and is a predicted model, not a curated record.
UGCAAUUCUCCGUGUCAGCAUCCUGGAGGUCACAGCAGUGAGCUGCUGGAGAGGUGUCUGGUGCCAAGCCCACGUGUGAGGGAAGGAGAUGGCCACACACAGGAAGGGGCGCUGCUCGCAGCACGCUCCGCUCCGGCAGCUGCCUGGCCAUCACUUACCCACUUCUACCUGCUCCUUUGCAACUGUUUUGGCAGCUCAGCAAAAGCAGGGAGCAAAUCUUUUGGGCAAAGCAUAACGGGUGCUGAGCUUGGAUUGUUUCUGGCCCAUCUGUGCGUGUGGAAGCAGGUCCCACCCUGCUCCUCAGGGAGAGAUGUUCACCAGCCACCACACAAAAUAUGAGACCCUCAACGGGAGACUCUUCCACAGACCAAAGCUUUUCUCCAAUUUAAAGACAGCUUUGCUGGAGAAGUCAAGAUCAGCUGGAAUGUCUCCCACAACAGAGCCAGAAGAAGGAAUGUCCAACCAGGGCAAAGCAGCUCAGGGGCAGCAGGGAUGUGCUUUGUGCUGGCACCCCUGGUUCGAGCUGAGCUACAGCCACAGGGGAAGUGCACUGAGCUGCCUUCGUUGAGACAAGGAGGCAGUGACCAGGAAUUCAUUCAUCUUUAGCAGCAAUGCAGCAACAAUCAUCUCCACAUCUCAAAACUCACCACAAAUGCAGAAAAAUCCAUCCCCUGCAUGUGGGUACC